Molecule: ribosomal RNA, 723 nt
Filed under: Pseudocercospora eucalyptorum
Lineage: Eukaryota; Fungi; Ascomycota; Dothideomycetes; Mycosphaerellales; Mycosphaerellaceae
Also listed under: 1 other name
Description: eukaryotic LSU rRNA
Rfam family: Eukaryotic large subunit ribosomal RNA
Source: RNAcentral
GGGAUUGCCCUAGUAACGGCGAGUGAAGCGGCAACAGCUCAAAUUUGAAAUCUGGCGCAAGCCCGAGUUGUAAUUUGUAGAGGAUGCUUCUGGGUAGCGGCCGGUCUAAGUUCCUUGGAACAGGACGUCAUAGAGGGUGAGAAUCCCGUAUGUGACUGGCUUGCACCCUCCACGUAGCUCCUUCGACGAGUCGAGUUGUUUGGGAAUGCAGCUCUAAAUGGGAGGUAAAUUUCUUCUAAAGCUAAAUACCGGCCAGAGACCGAUAGCGCACAAGUAGAGUGAUCGAAAGAUGAAAAGCACUUUGGAAAGAGAGUUAAAAAGCACGUGAAAUUGUUGAAAGGGAAGCGCCCGCAACCAGACUUUGCGGCAGUGUUCGGCCGGUCUUCUGACCGGUUUACUCGCUGUCGUGAGGCCAUCAUCGUCUGGGACCGCUGGAUAAGACCUUAGGAAUGUAGCUCCCCUCGGGGAGUGUUAUAGCCUCUGGUGAUGCAGCGCGUCUCGGGCGAGGUCCGCGCUUCGGCAAGGAUGAUGGCGUAAUGGUUGUCGGCGGCCCGUCUUGAAACACGGACCAAGGAGUCUAACAUCUAUGCGAGUGUUCGGGUGUCAAACCCCUACGCGUAAUGAAAGUGAACGGAGGUGGGAACUUUUUGUGCACCAUCGACCGAUCCUGAUGUCCUCGGAUGGAUUUGAGUAAGAGCAUAGCUGUUGGGACCCGAAAGAUGG